AUUGAACGCUGGCGGCAGGCCUAACACAUGCAAGUCGAACGGUAACAGAAAGCAGCUUGCUGCUUUGCUGACGAGUGGCGGACGGGUGAGUAAUGUCUGGGAAACUGCCUGAUGGAGGGGGAUAACUACUGGAAACGGUAGCUAAUACCGCAUAACGUCGCAAGACCAAAGAGGGGGACCUUCGGGCCUCUUGCCAUCGGAUGUGCCCAGAUGGGAUUAGCUAGUAGGUGGGGUAACGGCUCACCUAGGCGACGAUCCCUAGCUGGUCUGAGAGGAUGACCAGCCACACUGGAACUGAGACACGGUCCAGACUCCUACGGGAGGCAGCAGUGGGGAAUAUUGCACAAUGGGCGCAAGCCUGAUGCAGCCAUGCCGCGUGUAUGAAGAAGGCCUUCGGGUUGUAAAGUACUUUCAGCGGGGAGGAAGGGAGUAAAGUUAAUACCUUUGCUCAUUGACGUUACCCGCAGAAGAAACACCGGCUAACUCCAU
Molecule: ribosomal RNA, 489 nt
Filed under: uncultured bacterium
Lineage: Bacteria
Description: partial 16S ribosomal RNA
Rfam family: Bacterial small subunit ribosomal RNA
Source: RNAcentral